CAAGCCUCUCCAAGAAAUGUCAUCUCUUUCUCCUUUAUCGGAGAACAUGGUAUUGACCAAGGAGCACUUCGUAAAGAGUUCUUUACAGAAAUGAUCCGAGGAAUUGAGAUGCGUUUAUUUGAUGGAGAUGGGGAAAUGGGCAAAACCCCAAGUAUAGCCUUUUUGACUAUAAAGAAGACCACUUCAAGACUUGUGGGGAGAUUUUUGCUGCAAGCAUUGCACAGGGGGGCCCUGCACUAAACUUUAUCUCUAGGUGGUGCUACCAAUACCUUUGCCAUGGAGAAUUCAACAAAGACACUAUCCCUGAUGAAGUGGCAGAUACAGAUUUAAAAAUUCUUAUUGAAGAGAGGUGGAAAGAGCAGAACCAGAUGAGCUUAUUGGCUUAUCUGAUCAAGUUGUGGCGUGUGGAUACACGGGGCCAAUAACUGUUGAGCACAAACACACAAUAACACAAGCCAUUAAUUUGCAUGCAAAGCUGAGAGUUGUCCAUAUAUUGAGCCAGCUCCGUGAGGGACUAAGGCUCUAUGGGCUGAAUGAGGUGUUGAAAUACCAUGAGGACCUUUGCGAGCAAUUGUUUGUUCCAGGCCACCUGAGUAAAAAGACUGCCCAGAAGAGGAGAAUCUUCGAAAUGAGCAGGAAGAUGAGCCUGGUACAACGGGAAAGGAACAACAGUCUGUCAGUCUACAGUGGGCAACUGGGCAGGCACAUGUAUCAAUGAUAGUUUCCGAAAGAGAGGCAUUCAAAAUUAUUAUUAAUUUUGACUACGACUGUAAGUCCCGCUACGGACCACACAGGCAGUGUUACCCAACUGUGAAUGCCUGUGCAGUUGCACUUACAUUUCCGACGCGCCAUUUUGUCACCUACCAUGAUUUUGAAAAUGUUCUUACAGAGGCAAUCAGGGGUGGGUUUGAGUUCAGUAUGUACUGAAUAGGAACACUUGUGUAAACCCUGUUAGAAAAGUUAAUUCUGCUAAAUUGGAUCAGUCAUUUGUUAUUAUUUGUUAUUUGUUACUCUAACUUUUAACGUUUUUCUCUAUCAGCGUGUUACAAGUUUGUUUAAA
Fundulus heteroclitus (mummichog) is the source of this 1060-nucleotide long non-coding RNA. RefSeq lists it as uncharacterized. Lineage: Eukaryota; Metazoa; Chordata; Actinopteri; Cyprinodontiformes; Fundulidae. The record is from RefSeq and is a predicted model, not a curated record. The transcript is spliced from 6 exons.